AGUUUCAACUUCUAUCGAAUACUUCUAUUUUCAGGCGAGUUGACGAGUCAUUAGUCAUAGUGCAUGCAUAUGUCUCUACCAUUAACAUUGAUCUUUGGACAUGUGAAAAAAAAUCAGUAUCUUAUUAAUAAAUUUGUUUUAAGCACUUGUGCAUUUCUUAACAUUGGUAUGUCUUCACGGAGAUCCUAGCCAAAUGAUUUAAAGAAAGCCGAAAUUGACAUUCUCCGAGCUAAAGGAACCUUCAUUUGAAACUUCUAAAUUUCAGGCUCUGUAAAACACAAGAGUUCAGCAGAUUUUGUUAAAUUUACCGUAUCAAAUCGUGCAGGAAUGAAUUGCAGAAUAUAUUUUUGGCUAUACAACUCAUAAUGGCAUUACCUAGGAGAUGGGGAAGCUAAUAUAUUUGGUCUGACUUUUCUCUCGCACUAGGUGGUUGCCUUCUGCCGUGAACGUUUCUCAACAAAUAAAGAAGCUUUUCGUAACAAGAAGUUUGACCUUGUGAUCAAUGAUUUUAACUUUGAAGAAGGCAUGGCAUAUAGUUUUGUUUUGAAGGUUGGCAAGUUAAAGAACUACUUCAAUGAAGUCUUCGAUAACAAUCAUUGGUUAAGGUUCAGGUUUAUACUCCGUGAUGCAUGUCAUGUGGAGGGAUAUUGAUUACCGAGAUAAACUUGAAAGGGAGCAAAAAUAAACUUCAUUGAUGUUGGAUGAAUGACAAUAGAUUCUUCUUUAUGGAAAUAAAAUAAUUGACGUUAUGGGAUUUUCAUUUAUUUAUUUUUAUUUUUGAAGUUCCAUGUAAUAUCAUAAUGAGUGACAAAGUUUUCUUUUUUUUUCCUUUGAAUGUAAGAUGUUGUCAACAAAGCAAAUUUGGUCUA
Molecule: long non-coding RNA, 869 nt
Organism: Erigeron canadensis
Lineage: Eukaryota; Viridiplantae; Streptophyta; Magnoliopsida; Asterales; Asteraceae
Exons: 4
Source: RefSeq, a predicted model, not a curated record